Molecule: long non-coding RNA, 447 nt
Organism: Xiphophorus couchianus (Monterrey platyfish)
Lineage: Eukaryota; Metazoa; Chordata; Actinopteri; Cyprinodontiformes; Poeciliidae
Exons: 3
Source: RefSeq, a predicted model, not a curated record
CAAUCUCGAUAUUACGUGUGGGGGUCCUUAAGAACGGCAAAAAGAGCAAACUUGGCAACCCGUUUCAGGAGCAUAAAGCGCGUCCUCUGUUCCUUCUUUCCAGGCCUUUCCAUAAUCCCCAUCGCAUCCCUGAGACAGCCCAGUGCUCCAUACUGGGUUUGUCAGCAAACUGAGGAGGCAGAUCAGAGCAGUGGUAUUACCCAUUCCAUCCUUAGCUGCCAGGUUGCUCUGUGGUGGAAGAGAUCCCUGCAACAAACAUGUCAAACAUGCAUCCCAAGCCUCUGUCAACUAACACUUUAUGGGUUUUGUGAGCUCGUUGAAGAAACCUGUGAACGUAACCAGCCACAGGGUGGUGCUGGAACAAAGACCAAGGAUGACAUUCCCCUCUGGUUUUGGUUAGAGCUCAUAUUGGCACAAAAAUAAACAUUUCUGGAAGACAAACAACAA